Molecule: ribosomal RNA, 341 nt
Filed under: uncultured Bacillota bacterium
Lineage: Bacteria; Bacillati; Bacillota
Description: bacterial SSU rRNA
Rfam family: Bacterial small subunit ribosomal RNA
Source: RNAcentral
GAUGAACGCUGGCGGCGUGCUUAACACAUGCAAGUCGAACGAAGCAAUUAAAGUGAAGUUUUCGGACUGAACUUUAAUUGACUUAGUGGCGGACGGGUGAGUAACGCGUGGGUAACCUACCUUAUACAGGGGGAUAACAGUUGGAAACGACUGCUAAUACCGCAUAAGCCUACAGCAUCGCAUGAUGGAGUAGGAAAAGAUUUAUCGGUAUAAGAUGGACCCGCGUCUGAUUAGCUAGUUGGUGAGGUAAUGGCUCACCAAGGCGACGAUCAGUAGCCGACUUGAGAGAGUGAUCGGCCACAUUGGGACUGAGACACGGCCCAAACUCCUACGGGAGGCAG